CCUACGGGAGGCAGCAAUGAGGAAUAUUGGUCAAUGGACGAGAGUCUGAACCAGCCAAGUAGCGUGAAGGAUGACUGCCCUAUGGGUUGUAAACUUCUUUUAUAUGGGAAUAAAAUGUUCCACGUGUGGGAUUUUGUAUGUACCAUAUGAAUAAGGAUCGGCUAACUCCGUGCCAGCAGCCGCGGUAAUACGGAGGAUCCGAGCGUUAUCCGGAUUUAUUGGGUUUAAAGGGAGCGUAGGUGGAUUGUUAAGUCAGUUGUGAAAGUUUGCGGCUCAACCGUAAAAUUGCAGUUGAAACUGGCAGUCUUGAGUACAGUAGAGGUGGGCGGAAUUCGUGGUGUAGCGGUGAAAUGCUUAGAUAUCACGAAGAACUCCGAUUGCGAAGGCAGUUCACUGGACUGCAACUGACACUGAGGCUCGAAAGUGUGGGUAUCAAACAGGAUUAGAUACCCGAGUAGUC
RNAcentral lists this ribosomal RNA (460 nucleotides) under uncultured bacterium. RNAcentral's name for it is "partial 16S ribosomal RNA". It matches the Rfam family "Bacterial small subunit ribosomal RNA", at positions 338 to 795 of the family's 1533-position model. The record is from RNAcentral.